UUGAAAGGGAAACGAUUGAAGUCAGUCGUACUGACGGGAAAUCAACUUCUCGAGUGCUUGUCGUGAAUGACGUUGAGCUUCACGGCCUUCGUUGCUUGCGUUAUGGUGCUUUUGAGGUGUACUUUUCCGUAUGGUAAGUCAACAUCGAUUUUGAUCGUCAUAAAAUGAUCGGAGGAAUGUGGCUCUGAUCUUGUAUCGGAGUGUUAUAGCCUUUGGUAGAUGUGACGAUUGGGAUCGAGGAUUGUAACGAAUACCCUUCUGGGCUAUCCGUCUGACCUCUGAAAGUUGCUCAGGUGCCGAAAGCGUGCUUACGGUUAUCUAAGUUAACGGUCAAUAGGUUAGAACGUGAUUACAUUCGUUAAGGAUGUUGACGUA
This 375-nucleotide ribosomal RNA is filed under the name uncultured Glomeromycotina. Its description in RNAcentral is "LSU rRNA". Lineage: Eukaryota; Fungi; Glomeromycota. The record is from RNAcentral.